UACGUAGGGUGCAAGCGUUGUCCGGAAUUAUUGGGCGUAAAGAGCUCGUAGGCGGUUUGUUGCGUCGGCUGUGAAAUCCCGAGGCUCAACCUCGGGUCUGCAGUCGAUACGAGCAAACUAGAGUGUUGCAGGGGAGACUGGAAUUCCUAGUGUAGCGGUGGAAUGCGCAGAUAUCAGGAGGAACACCGAUGGCGAAGGCAGGUCACUGGGCCGCAACUGACGCUGAGGAGCGAAAGCAUGGGGAGCGAACAGG
RNAcentral lists this ribosomal RNA (253 nucleotides) under uncultured bacterium. Its description in RNAcentral is "partial 16S ribosomal RNA". It matches the Rfam family "Bacterial small subunit ribosomal RNA", at positions 524 to 776 of the family's 1533-position model. The record is from RNAcentral.